RNAcentral lists this long non-coding RNA (1508 nucleotides) under Chrysemys picta bellii (western painted turtle). Its description in RNAcentral is "lncRNA (ENSCPBG00000020577.1)". Lineage: Eukaryota; Metazoa; Chordata; Testudines; Emydidae. The record is from RNAcentral.
GGCCCCCGGGAACUCGCUGCAGUUCCGUUUGCUAAGCGUAGAGGGGGCACGAGGCGAAGGGGAUCAGGACCACCGGCCGAUCGGAUUCGUGCGGUCCCUCGGCAGAGACAAAGGCAGGGGAGAGCGCGGCGGCACCCCCCGGGGCCGGGUUCCUCAGAGUGUGAAUGGUGGGAAUACUGGCCACUGUCCUCCUGAUAUCCAGAAUGUCAGGCGGGAACAUACAAAAUCUUCCCAAGCAUCAGUGGCUCUGGUGGUGAUAGCAGAGAAGCAUCAUCCAUUCAUCCCAGUGUGCAGAACAAUCAACAGGUGUCAUGGGGUCAAACUUAGUGGAGGAACAGAAAUAGCUGUUAAAAUGAAGCAGAACAAGCAUGAAAAGAAAGAAUCUUUUUAUAGUAAACCUGCUGACUGUAUAGGUUGGGAACAAAGAUGUAACAGACACACAGUUCAUACAAAGAAAGCCCUUCUUCAAAGCCUGCAGAAAAUUACAGCCCAGUCACAGGGCAACUGAAAACAGAUGAAGCAUUUUACUGCUGAGGGCUCAGUACACCAAACCCACAAGGAGCACAGCUCCCAGCAACCACACCCAUGCUUUUUUCACACCCAACAGAACAAAUUCAAAGCUAACCACUCAGACUGUGUUUCCUUCCCCCACUCCUCUCAGGAAGAAUAAGACACUCUUCCACAGCAGAAAGCAGCUGCUACAGAACAGCACUCUCCACCAUUGUCAUGCUCAGAAAGAAACACUACAGUUCUUCAUUGUGGUUAGCAAGGCCAGGCUUUUACAACCACCUUCUCCAGUCACCAACUAGAGAAAUGAUCCCUGAAAGCAUAGCCUUAAAAAGCACCUACCCUGCCAGUCACAGACCAUUCUGGCGCAUUGCCCUCUAACUGGUGGUUGCUACAAUUUGGCCUUCACAAGACAGAGAGCACUAUGAGAAGCCCCCUGUGAACAGAACCUGGCUCUCAGCUUUGCCUCCAUAGCCCCCUUCUGUAGGCUGUCUAUCAAAGCCAAGAUGCUCAAAGUAGCCAUCCCCUUUCAUUUGCAUAAACUGAAGACACAGACAGGCCACUCCACCAAUCUUCUCCCCGCUCCCUUCUCUGCAAUGCCUAAGACAACAAUCCUCGAGCUGGCCAAGCCAAGAGCUGUCUAGAAACGACAGCCUAUGCAGUGUUGGACACCCAGAGCAUGUUUCUUUGGCACCAGUGACCAAAAUGAGCAAGUGAGCAGUGGGGAGCCAGGCUCUCCAACAGGGGUGUUUCCUGAACCUGAAGGCCAGUCUUACCAUGCUCCCGGGAGCAGGAGCUUGAGCUCCCAGUUUUUCUGGAAAUCAUCCCAGAAGCUGUGACUUAAAAGGUAAGCACUAACACUGUUUUGCAGUUAUAACCAACCCUCCUCGGGCUGUUUGCAGGACUGAACACUAGACUUCUUCCAUAGUAAUUGUGAGCCUCUACUGCUUGAGCUAAAGGACAGUGUCCCCCAGCUAGCAGAUUCAGUCACUGGAGCGGGA